RNAcentral lists this ribosomal RNA (725 nucleotides) under uncultured bacterium. RNAcentral's name for it is "bacterial SSU rRNA". It matches the Rfam family "Bacterial small subunit ribosomal RNA", at positions 47 to 761 of the family's 1533-position model. The record is from RNAcentral.
CCUAACACAUGCAAGUCGAACGGUAACAGGAAGAAGCUUGCUUCUUUGCUGACGAGUGGCGGACGGGUGAGUAAUGUCUGGGAAACUGCCUGAUGGAGGGGGAUAACUACUGGAAACGGUAGCUAAUACCGCAUAACGUCGCAAGACCAAAGAGGGGGACCUUCGGGCCUCUUGCCAUCGGAUGUGCCCAGAUGGGAUUAGCUAGUAGGUGGGGUAACGGCUCACCUAGGCGACGAUCCCUAGCUGGUCUGAGAGGAUGACCAGCCACACUGGAACUGAGACACGGUCCAGACUCCUACGGGAGGCAGCAGUGGGGAAUAUUGCACAAUGGGCGCAAGCCUGAUGCAGCCAUGCCGCGUGUAUGAAGAAGGCCUUCGGGUUGUAAAGUACUUUCAGCGGGGAGGAAGAGAGUAAAGUUAAUACCUUUGCUCAUUGACGUUACCCGCAGAAGAAGCACCGGCUAACUCCGUGCCAGCAGCCGCGGUAAUACGGAGGGUGCAAGCGUUAAUCGGAAUUACUGGGCGUAAAGCGCUCGCAGGCGGUUUGUUAAGUCAGAUGUGAAAUCCCCGGGCUCAACCUGGGAACUGCAUCUGAUACUGGCAAGCUUGAGUCUCGUAGAGGGGGGUAGAAUUCCAGGUGUAGCGGUGAAAUGCGUAGAGAUCUGGAGGAAUACCGGUGGCGAAGGCGGCCCCCUGGACGAAGACUGACGCUCAGGUGCGAAAGCG